This 251-nucleotide ribosomal RNA is filed under the name uncultured prokaryote. Its description in RNAcentral is "partial 16S rRNA". It matches the Rfam family "Bacterial small subunit ribosomal RNA", at positions 525 to 775 of the family's 1533-position model. The record is from RNAcentral.
ACGUAGGUGGCGAGCGUUAUCCGGAUUUACUGGGUGUAAAGGGCGUGUAGGCGGCGUUGCAAGAUGGAUAUAUAAUUCCCGGGCUUAACCCGGGCGUGGCAUGAGAAACUGCAUUGCUCGAGUGAUGAAGAGGAAACUAGAACUCCAGGUGUAGCGGUGAAAUGUGUAGAUAUCUGGGGGAAUACCAAUGGCGAAGGCAGGUUUCUGGUUGUCAACUGACGCUGAGACGCGAAAGCGUGGGGAUCAAACGG